Medicago truncatula (barrel medic) is the source of this 484-nucleotide long non-coding RNA. RefSeq lists it as uncharacterized. Lineage: Eukaryota; Viridiplantae; Streptophyta; Magnoliopsida; Fabales; Fabaceae. The record is from RefSeq and is a predicted model, not a curated record. The transcript is spliced from 2 exons.
AUCCACUUAAUACACUAUAAAAAGAGCAAACUGUAUUAAAUUUGUUAUAUAUAAAGGCAGAAAAAUAUGGUUAAAACAUUCAAGUUUAUUUAUUCUAUAAUUAUAUUUCUUUCUCCAUUUCUUGUUGUAAUGAACGUUGACGGUGAGCUUAUUAAAUGUACAAUGGAUGCUGAUUGUCCAACAAGUUUGAAUCGUAAGUGGCUGUGUAUUAACAACAUAUGUAGAAAGAUGUGUGUGACAAAUGUAUGAGUGACAUAACCAAGAGAGUACACUUACUCCAUGAAUGAAGAAUAUGUUCUUACUCUGGAAGAAAAUCUAUGCAUAUAUCUUACGCUGAAAUAUUCUAUAAUUAUCAUUUUAUUAUUUUGUUGACAUCGAAUAAUUAUAUGUUUUUUAUUUUUAUUUUUUCUAUUUCACGAACCUUGCAACAGGUCUUGUACUCUAAGAUGUUGGUAAAAUAUGGCACUAAAAAAUAUUAUAACUA